RNAcentral lists this ribosomal RNA (208 nucleotides) under uncultured bacterium. RNAcentral describes it as "partial 16S ribosomal RNA". It matches the Rfam family "Bacterial small subunit ribosomal RNA", at positions 524 to 732 of the family's 1533-position model. The record is from RNAcentral.
UACGUAGGGGGCAAGCGUUGUCCGGAUUUAUUGGGCGUAAAGAGCGUGUAGGCGGCUUUACAGGUCCGUUGUGAAAACUCGAGGCUCAACCUCGAGACGCCGGUGGAAACCGUAAGGCUAGAGUCCGGAAGAGGAGAGUGGAAUUCCUGGUGUAGCGGUGAAAUGCGCAGAUAUCAGGAGGAACACCCGUGGCGAAGGCGGCUCCUGG